ACAUGUCCAUACAACUGGCGGAUAAGUGGGUAACCACAUGGGAGUAUGGAUGAAUAUAUGUUGAGUCGACCGCCUGGGCAACCGCU
This 86-nucleotide non-coding RNA is filed under the name Butyrivibrio hungatei. RNAcentral's name for it is "ZTP sequence". It matches the Rfam family "ZMP/ZTP riboswitch aptamer (pfl RNA motif)". Rfam says of the family: Previously known as pfl RNA. The record is from Rfam by way of RNAcentral. Lineage: Bacteria; Bacillati; Bacillota; Clostridia; Lachnospirales; Lachnospiraceae.